CUCACUGAGACACAAACACCUGGGCCCGUAUCCUCGAGAACUAUUAACUUUUACUCUUAAAGUUACUAUCAAAGUUAACAGUUUCAAAUUAUUAAGAGUAAAAGCUAUCUUCGUCAACUUUGAGUGUAAGUAUUAGCAAAUCCUGGCUACUAUUAUCUUCUUCUUCUUCUUCUUUAUGGCGGGCUCGUUGCUAAGGACGCCUCCGUGCAAAACAUAAACAUCCGACAUGAAUUAAGUAAAUAUUUCAAAAGAAAAAUAAAGAAAACAUGUAUAAAUGUACAACAAAAACAUAAUAAAUGGCAAACACAAGAAAAUAUUGAGUUUUGUGGCAGAUAGAAGCAGCCUCAAAAGCUGUUUUUACUCCGUCACUCGUCAAUACCCGUAUCUCCCCUCCUGCGUCACGACUUGCUCUGCUGAAAUUACUGCACCAUAACCACGUCAUCUGCCCCAAUGAGCACGUCUACGGGCCGGAGAACCAGCGCAGAAAAGGAGUAAGUUUAAUUGGUCGCCAGAUGAAACGGUCUUCUUACAUCAAAUUCAUGAAAAAAUACGUAUAAUCAGAGGGUGUUAUGGGAAGAGUAUCACCCCUGAGGAUAAGAAGAGAGCUUGGACUGAAGUGGCAGAAGCUGUAACAAGUGCCUUCCCUGGGAGUGGACCCCGUACGCAGGAUGACUGUGAGAGGCGUUGGUACAACGUACAACAAAAAUCAAAGCCUUGCAUUGCCAAGUGCAAGAAUGAACAGUGGCACUGCCCCGCUGCUGUAUUGCUAGAGACCAUCCCAGCACAUUGUUCAUUACUUGUGGAAAAGAUACCAUCAGCUGCUCCGGCAACAGCCACUGCUUCAACAUCUGCUGGCCCUAUGACAUCAGCCACUGCUUCAUCAUCUGCUGGCCCAAUAACACCUGUCACUGCUUCAUCAUCUGCUGGCCUUAUGACACCAGCCACUGCUUCAUCAUCUGCUGGCCCAAUGACAUCUGCCACUGCAAGGGAUGACAAUGAAGCUGCUCCACCACAGUCACCACCUACUUCAUCGGAGUUAAGAGAUGCCUUUCAUAGGGCAGCAGCAUAAUUUUUUGAUGCUGGGGCUGAAUAUUACUGCCUCAAGGCUAUGAUU
Molecule: long non-coding RNA, 1114 nt
Organism: Eriocheir sinensis (Chinese mitten crab)
Lineage: Eukaryota; Metazoa; Arthropoda; Malacostraca; Decapoda; Varunidae
Exons: 3
Source: RefSeq, a predicted model, not a curated record